GAAAGUUGUUCCCAUUACAAAGCAUUUUUUCACAUAGGCUCACUUUUAUUUUCUAAGGACUUGGAGAUUAAAGAGCCAGCAGCACUGGAACAGGAAGCUCACUGUACGUCCAAAGGAAAAAAAAGAACAUGUAAGAUUCGACUGACACAGCCAGCUGAAGUGUGAAAAUGAGAGUCUGCAAGGCCAGAGAGGCAGAACCUAUGUGGUACACCAAGACUAACUUGAGACAAAGGUGUCUGGCAGCCACUGAAAGCCACAGCAGAGUACUUCAGCAAAAACCCAAACAGGAUGAUCUUGGCCCUCAAGGCUUGUCACAAAUAAGUAAUUGCUAAUACUAAUUAUAACUAAU
RNAcentral lists this long non-coding RNA (349 nucleotides) under Gallus gallus (chicken). RNAcentral's name for it is "lncRNA (ENSGALG00010022924.1)". Lineage: Eukaryota; Metazoa; Chordata; Aves; Galliformes; Phasianidae. The record is from RNAcentral.